Molecule: long non-coding RNA, 1081 nt
Organism: Ictalurus punctatus (channel catfish)
Lineage: Eukaryota; Metazoa; Chordata; Actinopteri; Siluriformes; Ictaluridae
Exons: 3
Source: RefSeq, a predicted model, not a curated record
UUCAGUUCUGCCAAACACAUAAGAGUGUUGAUGAGUGUAUAAUCCACUUCACUCAUAUCUCAUGUUAAUUAGCUUGUGGUUUAAUCUCGAAGGAAUUCCACUAUCCCACGGAUGUCAUCACAUCAUGAGUGUGAAUCUCCACAUUGAUUUCUCACCAUUCGGAGGAACAGGUGAAGCAUCUGAGGAAUGAAGCUACACUUAAUCCACUAGGGGGCAGUGGAGUAUUACAGCGAGAUGAAGUGGAAUGGUGCGCAUACUACACAACCAACACACACAAUAACCUCAUAAACGGAGAGAUCUUUCACCUGACACUCUCGCUGAUGCAAACACCACCAUCUCAAGAAAAAUUCACAGGCUUGGCAGUCUGACUUGGAAGUGUGGAAGUUUUUACUAUUUGUUCAAUUAGUAAAAAGUCAAUCAUGAAAUCACUGAGAAACAAUUUCUUCUGGGUUUUUUUGUUGGUGUAGUCGUUUUUAAAAUUUAAUUAUUGCAUGCUGCGUUUGAUUUCAAAAUGUGCUUUUUUAAUGAAUAGGAUAUUUCCCCACCGACUCUUUACUGAGUUUCCUUUUACACUGAAAGUUAUUGUUAAUAAAUACCGUCACCCAUAAUUGUAAGAAUGGAAAUUUCAUAUUUUUUGUACAUUUCAUUGAAUUUUCAUUCAUUACUUUCAUUUAAUUACUUUCAUUACAACAAGUGAUGGGAUGCCAGUCCAUCACCGAGCACCAUGCAUGCAUGCACACACACACACACACACACACACACACACACACCUAGUGGCAAUUGAUCAUAGACAGGCCACCUCCCAGCAUGUUUUUGGGAGGUAGGAGGAAACCGGGGAACCCAGUUGAGCACUCCAAAGAAGAGCAGCUUGCUACUUUAUUCAAAUGAUAGGAAUGAUAAUAUCCCAUGGCUUGCAAUCACACUGUUGUUGUUUUUUGUUCUCACCAUUGGUCCCAUGCUACUCACACUUGAUAUGUUGUGGUGCUUUUAAACCUGAUUGAAAAUCUCCUCUGAACUCCUCUGACUAUAUGAUUUCAGUACUAAAGAUCUGUCACUAAAGGUGCAUCAGGUAAGAUUUGUG